GCUAGUCUUUAAAUAUGUGGUCAUACAGGGAAGAUGGAACUCGUGCUCGCAAACCGAUCGGAAUACCUCAUCUGUGGUCUGUAUGGCUUUCUGGCACAGCGCGCACACAGGUCUUACACCUUCACCUGCCCCUUGGGCUUCCUUUCCGGGAGAUCUGUCCAAACCCAUGGCAAGAAAAUGCUACUUAUCUCGGUUGUUUCCUAUCAUCUAUGUAGUAUGGGAUUGGUUUGGCAAUACUACUCUGAAAGUCGUGACUAUAAUUCGUCCUAACUUUGUUUUAUUCAACUAAAAUUUCGAUACUAAGUUUUGAUACCAAUAAUGAACUCUAUGACCGACGCUCGCGCACCACAAUCUACAUUCUACUCUUUUUCGAUAUCUCCUUUGAAAGGUUUACGUUUAGUUCGAACGCGACUCGCAUCUACGGAUCGACACUGAUUCCGACACUUCCGACAGCUAACUCUGAGACCACCGUCAGUAAUUCUGGAAUAAAUCUCUUCUCUCCAUCGUGGAUAGAGUAACGCUCGAAAGCAGAAUAUCUAUGUUCCAAUGCGCUGGAGUCGAAGAAAACUUUUACUUAAUAGGAUGGUGUGAACACUAACGCGGUAUUUCCCGCAGGGUCAGGCGGUCGACAUUCGUCAUUCUCGCUCUGCAAUUCCACUGAAGGAUUUAGCCUACGUCGCUUCUAGUUAAUUGAGCCUCUUCUUGCUGACUGUCAUCUGGGGUCAGAAAGGAAUAACUCUGCUCCUUUAUCUGGUUUCCACUUCAGAUGACUAGUCCGCAAGGGAUAGCGAAAGCACUUUAACGGAAAAGGAAACUUUUGUAAACGCGGAAAAGAAAAUUUCUAUCUAAUCAUCCACGGGUCCAACCGAGUAUUUGAAUCUACCCUGUCGGGCCCCACGUUGGGCGCCACUUAUGAAAAUUUCUUUAAUCAUUUAAUAAAAUUAUCUUUUUAGUUAUAAUAUUAUUAUAACUGUAACGUGUAACGCUCGUCUACGCUAGACGGACAGGAGGGGCGAUCUGCAAAGGCGGGGCACGCUUUAAAUGUUCCGGCUCUAGCUCGUCGGCUUUGGGGUGGUGGUUCUUGCGCGUACAGAUCGUCUCCAUUUAGCAACACUAUCACGCGAUAAUUUUAACGAUUUAUUUUCCUAAGAAUUGAGCGUGCUGCGACUAUACGGUGCUAGAACUACCGGUAGAUCGACGAAAAGAUAAAAGAAACGCUCCGUAAAGAAUAGGGGAGAGUGCAGAAGAGAAGGAAGGAGAAGAUGAGGGAGAGAGAGAGAGAGGGAAAGUAGAAAGAGAGUGAAGAGUGAGGGAAAGAGGAGGAGAUAUCGGUUGCUAUCCCACGGAUGUCAGUGUGGUAGCUUAUUUUGCCCGCCCAACCUAUGACCAUCUUCCUCGAAACCGGAAGUUUCAGAUGGCCCCUUUAGCUAGAUCGCGGUUACACGCACGCCGGCACAGAGUUCAUCCUUUUGUAUCUUUAUCUAAAUUCCAUUAUAUAUUUGUUCGAUAAACGAUCAAAACUAAUAUAUUCAGCGAUGGCAUAUUUUUCUAAUUCUAGA
Molecule: long non-coding RNA, 1559 nt
Organism: Drosophila miranda
Lineage: Eukaryota; Metazoa; Arthropoda; Insecta; Diptera; Drosophilidae
Exons: 2
Source: RefSeq, a predicted model, not a curated record